This 67-nucleotide transfer RNA is filed under the name Quadraceps punctatus. RNAcentral's name for it is "tRNA-Gln". The record is from RNAcentral. Lineage: Eukaryota; Metazoa; Arthropoda; Insecta; Psocodea; Philopteridae.
UUCCUAAAAGUACUAACGUAUUCUAAUUUUUGGUGUUAGAGGUAGCCAUUAGGUUGGCUUUAGGAAA